This 365-nucleotide transfer-messenger RNA is filed under the name Patescibacteria group. RNAcentral describes it as "01-FULL-36-15b sp001782045 Standard tmRNA". It matches the Rfam family "transfer-messenger RNA". From Rfam's summary of the family: Bacterial tmRNA, also known as 10Sa RNA or SsrA, is named for its dual tRNA and mRNA-like properties. Its role is to liberate the mRNA from a stalled ribosome. To accomplish this part of the tmRNA is used as a reading frame that ends in a translation stop signal. RNAcentral also lists the same sequence under 2 other names. The record is from RNAcentral.
GGGGAUGCAAAUGCAUCGACAGGAUAGUUCUUUAAAAACUGCAAGCCGACAAUGAUCUAAGUCGUAAAACAGGUCAAAACUAUAAAUGAUAGAGGAAACUCUUCAUUCGCUCAGCCUCGUUUUGCUUUUGCUUAACUAGUUGAGCUGUCCUUAAUGUCUUUUCUCGAUGAGACAUUUUGGGCAUAAACUUAGUCGAGAAAUCUAAAGAGAAACUGGUUAGAGCUCUUUUGAAUUUAUAACCUUGACCUUACUUAUGGAUGUUUGUUUUCAAAGAGUAAGGCGAUCAAAAAAAUAACAAAAUAAGCUUGUAGAAGUUUUUAAAAUCACUUUCUUGGACUCGGGAUCACUUCCCGACAUCUCCACAA